Molecule: ribosomal RNA, 465 nt
Filed under: Vreelandella stevensii
Lineage: Bacteria; Pseudomonadati; Pseudomonadota; Gammaproteobacteria; Oceanospirillales; Halomonadaceae
Description: partial 16S ribosomal RNA
Rfam family: Bacterial small subunit ribosomal RNA
Source: RNAcentral
CCUACGGGGUGCUGCAGUGGGGAAUAUUGGACAAUGGGCGAAAGCCUGAUCCAGCCAUGCCGCGUGUGUGAAGAAGGCCUUCGGGUUGUAAAGCACUUUCAGUGGGGAAGAAAGCCUUGGGGCUAAUACCCUCGAGGAAGGACAUCACCCACAGAAGAAGCACCGGCUAACUCCGUGCCAGCAGCCGCGGUAAUACGGAGGGUGCGAGCGUUAAUCGGAAUUACUGGGCGUAGAGCGCGCGUAGGCGGUCUGAUAAGCCGGUUGUGAAAGCCCCGGGCUCAACCUGGGAACGGCAUCCGGAACUGUCAGGCUAGAGUGCAGGAGAGGAAGGUAGAAUUCCCGGUGUAGCGGUGAAAUGCGUAGAGAUCGGGAGGAAUACCAGUGGCGAAGGCGGCCUUCUGGACUGACACUGACGCUGAGGUGCGAAAGCGUGGGUAGCAAACAGGAUUAGAUACCCGUGUAGUC